GGCCGCGUAGCUCAGUGAUAGAGCGUUACCAUUCCUAAGACGUACUACGGUGCGUCAUUUUGGGCUGCAGUACGCUGCAGCCAAGGAUAACAUGGUGAAGGCCUCGGGUUCAGACCCCGAUGCGGCCA
Non-coding RNA from Xylariaceae sp. FL1272, 128 nucleotides. Lineage: Eukaryota; Fungi; Ascomycota; Sordariomycetes; Xylariales; Xylariaceae. The record is from the annotation of a GenBank genome assembly.